GGCCGCCGGGGCGGGAGUUGCUGCAAGGCGCUCCCCGGCUGGUCCCAGCGAGCGCGACGUCCCGGAGGCGGCUUCAGGCGUCUGCAUCGCCGCGUCCUAGCCCGCCGUCCCAGCCUUUCACGUCUGUUCUGACCUCGAGGCGAGGCCCACCAAGAAUCCCGUGGCCGUUUCCUAACCGAUGGGGUUAAGGGGAAAACGCGCCGGAAAAGGGCAGCCGGCCGUGUUCGCCAUUGUGUCGGUCGCAGCGACGUUCGGCGGUUUGUAAGCGUGGUCCGAGCUGUCGCCAGGAGCAGCGGACAAGCCGAGGGCCGCGCCCGCCGACUGACCCGCGCGAUCUCCUCCCGGAAGAGCCGACUCUAGCCGGUCGUCGUGAGACACUUUGGGGUUUUAAUGAGGAAUUUUGCCGAAGGAGACCAACGGGCUCGUGAGGGCGUCCGGCAGAUGACGGAGCUGAAGUUGUAUGGGAUUGGGGAAGACACUGGGAGGAGGUUUUCCCGGCAGAGGAAGCCGGCUCCUGUUACUCGGCAGCGUCUCCAGAAAAGGCCACUCAAAAUGAAACCCUGAGAAUCGAUUUUCUUGCUACUAGGCAAGGCGGUCCCCAGGCCAGUGUGCCACGGCCUUUCUGGGUGCUCGAGGGCACCGGACUCCCACCCAGCUGUCCCCAAGAAAAGCUCGGAAGACCCAGCGUGGGGGAAUGAAGAUUCCUUGUGUGAAUCCAGGUCGGCAGGGUCCCGGAUUAUAGUUCAGGCCUUGGCAGCAUCUUACUUCAUUCCCCGCGGGAUGCAGCCAGUACAGCUGCUCUGCCGGGGAUGGUUUUAACAGCGCUGCAUGAUCGGCCCCUUCCUGCCUGUCUGGAGUGUCCCUACCCUGAAUCCUGUGUUUCACACACUCAGGAUGCUUGCUAUUUCUAAUUCUGUGCCUCCCUGCCUUGGUCCUUAUUGUUCCUUCACCUCCACUUGGUCAGACCGGUUUUAUCACUCAGGACCCACUUCAUUUGCUGAAAAUCCCUCCCCUAAUUUCACAAGCAGGACAUCUUCCUAGUGUCUAAGGCACUUUCACUGGAGUUAUUUGUGUUCCAUGCCAACUGAAAACAGCCAGGAACAUGGCUGUCCAAGAAAAUAAUAAAAGGUUAGGUUUAUU
This 1140-nucleotide long non-coding RNA is filed under the name Phocoena sinus (vaquita). Its description in RNAcentral is "lncRNA (ENSPSNG00000010722.1)". Lineage: Eukaryota; Metazoa; Chordata; Mammalia; Artiodactyla; Phocoenidae. The record is from RNAcentral.